CCUACGGGAGGCUGCAGUGGGGAAUAUUGGACAAUGGGCGAAAGCCUGAUCCAGCCAUGCCGCGUGUGUGAAGAAGGCCUUCGGGUUGUAAAGCACUUUCAGUGGGGAAGAAAGCCUUGGGGCUAAUACCCUCGAGGAAGGACAUCACCCACAGAAGAAGCACCGGCUAACUCCGUGCCAGCAGCCGCGGUAAUACGGAGGGUGCGAGCGUUAAUCGGAAUUACUGGGCGUAAAGCGCGCGUAGGCGGUCUGAUAAGCCGGUUGUGAAAGCCCCGGGCUCAACCUGGGAACGGCAUCCGGAACUGUCAGGCUAGAGUGCAGGAGAGGAAGGUAGAAUUCCCGGUGUAGCGGUGAAAUGCGUAGAGAUCGGGAGGAAUACCAGUGGCGAAGGCGGCCUUCUGGACUGACACUGACGCUGAGGUGCGAAAGCGUGGGUAGCAAACAGGAUUAGAUACCACUGUAGUC
RNAcentral lists this ribosomal RNA (465 nucleotides) under Vreelandella stevensii. Its description in RNAcentral is "partial 16S ribosomal RNA". It matches the Rfam family "Bacterial small subunit ribosomal RNA", at positions 338 to 795 of the family's 1533-position model. Lineage: Bacteria; Pseudomonadati; Pseudomonadota; Gammaproteobacteria; Oceanospirillales; Halomonadaceae. The record is from RNAcentral.